This is a long non-coding RNA of Astyanax mexicanus (Mexican tetra), 305 nucleotides long. RefSeq lists it as uncharacterized. Lineage: Eukaryota; Metazoa; Chordata; Actinopteri; Characiformes; Acestrorhamphidae. The record is from RefSeq and is a predicted model, not a curated record. The transcript is spliced from 4 exons.
GGGUAACAGGAGGGUAACAGCAGGGUAACAGGAGGGUAACAGCAGGGUAACAGCAAGGUAACAGCAGGGUAACAGGAGGGUAACAGCAGGGUAACAGGAGGGUAACAGCAGGGUAACAGGAGGGUAACAGGAGGGUAACAGCAGGGUAACAGGAGGGUAACAGCAGGGUAACAGGAGGGUAACAGGAGGGUAACAGCAGGGUAACAGGAGGGUAACAGCAGGGUAACAGGAGGGUAACAGCAGGGUAACAGCAGGGUAACAGGAGGGUAACAGCAGGGUAACAGGAGGGUAAUGUCAGAUCUCUG